Molecule: long non-coding RNA, 409 nt
Filed under: Homo sapiens (human)
Lineage: Eukaryota; Metazoa; Chordata; Mammalia; Primates; Hominidae
Description: HSALNT0112667
Source: RNAcentral
AAGUCUGGAUGCCACAUCAAACUGUUUGUGGUACUUCUAAACUUCGUGGAAGAGCCCUGUUUCAUAAAUCUGAGACAGCCUUGGUCUGAGGGAGCAAAGACAGAGAAUUCACGUGCUGCCCAGGCAUAGCCACAUAGCAGGUGGACAUCCCUGGACACUUUUCUGGCAAAGCACGCAAUGUGGGGACAACACAGAAAUCCAAGAAAGGCAAGACCAAUUUCAAGGCACUAAAUAAGUGGACUGAGACAAGAAGUACACAGAUACUUCCCAGAACAAAGGAUUUUAUGUCAUAGACCCUCAUUGGAUUUUCCUGGAAGUACGGAGAGUUACAUCCAGAGAACUCUGAACAUUUUGGAAGGACCCCAAUCCUGCAAACAAUGAAUGGCAAUAAAUCCUGGGACUGGAAAGG